RNAcentral lists this long non-coding RNA (755 nucleotides) under Monodelphis domestica (gray short-tailed opossum). RNAcentral describes it as "lncRNA (ENSMODG00000046136.1)". The record is from RNAcentral. Lineage: Eukaryota; Metazoa; Chordata; Mammalia; Didelphimorphia; Didelphidae.
GCUGCUCGUUCUUCAUCUGACACUGUAAAUUUUCUUUCCAUUACAACAACAUUACCCCUUAACGUCCAUUGAUACAAUUUCUGCACUGCUAGUCAUUCCCUGUUCUGUGGUUAGCUGCCCUUGCCUUUUGAUAACCCAGAAGAGGUGUAAACCAUUCCAGCAAAAUGCCCCCAAAUAAUUGCAGCAGCCUUCUUCAAAAGUCCAGAUGUCAACAGGAAGCAAAAACUGAUUAUAUACUUUUCUUCACAGCCAGAAAGUCAGGGAACAGCUUAAUGAGCAAGGAGAAGACCUCAGAGCAUCUCUGACUAAGCAUCUUGCCAUUGAGAUAGAAACCUCACCCAGUGUUAUGAUUCAAACUGUGUGGGUGUGAGAAAUGGAAGAAAAAGGAGGAAGAGAGAAAAGAAGAAAAAAAGGGGGAGCAGGGAGACACACCCAGAGAGGAAAAAACACACUGAGUUUCUUCAUCUGCAAAAUGAGCUGGAAAAGGAAAUGGCAAACCUUUCUGGUAUCUCUGGAGAAAUCCUCAAAUGGUAUCAUGAACAGUCAGGACACAAUUGAAAUGAACAAAUUAUAACAGUGUCUUCACUUAGAGGCUGGAGUACCACUGGAGGGUUAUGUUGUAUUCCUUUUGCAUAUGUGUUGAACUGAAAGUCACUGAGCCCUUCCAAAUCUCUAAUUCUCUGAUUGUGACCCUAUCCUUCUACCUCCUCAACUCCACCAAUAAAGGUAGGUGAGAUGAAAAAUGUGAAGAAAAG